ACGAAUGACGGAAAUUUGGACUGAGCCAACCAGAAUUCGCGAUUCCCUUGCCACCAAGUGCCGGUGGAACGGAGAGAGGGCCGCCGAAGGUUCUUGGGAGGGGUCCCCAGAAGUUGAGAAGCUCUGGACUGGGGUGCCUCUGAGAGAAAUUGUCACCAAAGAAAAUAGUUUGGUUGGCUGGUUUUCUGAGGCUUGGUGACAGCACUGGGCAGGCUGAGUAGGGCUGAGCUCUGACAGGGACUGAUGAGGCCUGGAACAGCAGGGAUGUGCAUAGACUAACAAUAUCUUUUCUUUUUUUCUUUCUGGCAUUUAAAAAGUGUCAGAUUACACUGUGAAUAAAUCUAUAACAAAAUGUUAUUAAAGUAAGUGAGUACUACUUUGGCAACCUCGUAAGUUCACAGGCUUUCCAAAGGAAAGCUGGCUGAGGAUUAUUUCAGGAUGCCUGGACUUGCAUCCUAAGAGUCAGGCUUUUCCCUGUUCUGCUGCCUCUAAUAGUACUGAGAGAAGGGCUAAGGUAAACCAGUGUGAGAUUUUUCACUUCCGCUGCCCCUUUCACUUUUGACCUCAGCACUACCAUGUGAAAAAGGCAAGUUAGGAAACAACCCAUAUCCAUCAACAGAUGCAGAAGUGGUACAUCCAUACAAUGGUAUAUUACUCAGCCAUGAAAAGGAAGUAAAUUCAGACACAUGCAACCAUAUGGAUGGACCUGAAAAAUAUUAGGCUAAGUGAAAUAAGCCAGACACAAAAGGACAAUUAUGUGUGAAUCCAGUUAUAUGAAAUAUCUUGAAUAGACAAAUUCAUGGACUUAGAAAGUAGACUAAAGCUUAUGAAAGGCUAGGGGAAGGGGAAAUGGGGAGUUACUGUUAAUGGGCAUAGAGAUUCUGUUUGGUGUAUGACACAUUUUGGAGAUGGAUAGUGAUGAUAGUUGUACAGUAUGGUGCCCCUGAAGUACACAUGUAAAAAUGGUUAAUAUGGCAAAUGUUAUAUAUAUAAUUUUUUUGACACACACACCCCCACACACACUGUGGGCAGGGCCAAUGGCACAGUUCUUCAUUAAAGGCUCUGAAAAACAAUCACAUCAUCCUUUAUAUAUCUCCCUGGGAGAGUCUUAGGAUUAUCUUGGUUUCCUCAAUCUAAUUAAACCAUGAAACCAUCCAAUUGAGUGGACUUUUUAAUCCUUAUUCUGUAAGUUAUGAAACUUCAGGGGUUAAGUCAACAUUGCAUAAGUUAAGUAAUUAUGUCAAGCUUACUAAAUUAAGCAUGGGGGAAUAUAAACAAAGUUCAACACUUAUUCCACAUUUAUCCACUGGGUUCUACUCUCCUGGUACCAAAGAAGAAGAAUUUAGUACUUAUCUCCUUUAUGCUUGUUUUUUUUUUCUUCCCGUUAUCUGAGGGGCUUUAAUUUCCUAAAUCACAGGUAGUAGAUAGACUUUAGAAUAGCAUAAGGAAAUUUGUGGUUAGAGAGAUCACUUUUUGAGGGGUCUAGAUAUUUAAGAAUACCUCUAGACAAGGACAGAUAACAGAAUUUCUUUGGUCUGCACACCAGCUUUAAUUAGGCAAUGGUUAGUUAAAAUGCAUUUAUAGGACAUCCUAAGUCAAACAUAAAUUUGUCAUUUAUUUUAUCUGCUGUAAAAGGAUAACCACACAACUUCGUUCUUAGGUAUUGUCUCUUGGUUAUUUACAUGAAUUAUUUAUCUUAUGUCUGGAAAUUUAAUACAUGUCAUAGAGCUGCAAAUUACACAAUCCAUCUUAGGUUUUGUAGUUUGCUGUCUAAGUGGGCACUCAAUCUCAGCUAUUAGUUUUAUUUAUUAAACUCUGCUCAAGACGCAGAGGUUUGACCUCAUUUUACAUUAUGCUAAAAACAUAGACAUGGUUAGUUUAAGAUGUUGGAUGCAAUGAAAGUGAAAAGAGAACCAAUUUAAGUGAAAGUGAAAUGCUGUGCCAAUCCUGCCUUUCAGGAUUGUGGGAUGAGACUAAUGUACAGCCUCUGCCAGGGCAGAAAUCAGAACAUGCUGGCCAGUAGGUAAAACCAUUGAUUUAAAUAAUGGUUUCAAAAGUCAUUCUGAAUCAGACUUGGGAAAUUUUAAGAAACAAGUUCUUAGAUGUCCAAAACCCACCAACUACCACUUAUCGGAUCAUUUAAAAAAAUGUAAUGUUGUUUUCUAGUACAGGAUCCUCAAGCAAAAUGUAUUGAAAUAUUAUAUUAGCUUAGUCAAGUAGGUUCAGUGACCGACUGCCCAGAAAAACUGAUAAUGAAAUCCUCUCAGAAUCAGUUUUUGCUUGGUUGUCUUUCCUUUGGAAAGAAACAUGCAGAGUAAAGGAAGGGAAGAUUUAUACCUUGUGGUUCUGCAUCUGAGGUCAGCUCAGGAAGAAGGAAGAGGAAGGAGAAUGGAUUGCAAGAAAAGAAACUAAAUUAAAAAAAUUUCAGGACACAUUCAGGUAUUCAUAUCUUUUUCCCUCUACCUCAUAUUAUGAAUUGUGUUUAUCACCCAUCUUCUUAAAACAGUGUGCAGUUUUGAGCUUUGCAAACUGCUAAAUAAUUAACUUUUAUUAAAUAGAAUGCUAUGUAGAAUCUCAGGAACUUGGCCACCAAAUAGCGUUGCAGAUAGAGAGGGGGUGGUGCGCUAUAGUCACAAUGGAUAUUGUGGCAUCCUUGUAAAGCUUUUUUCCACAGUGUUCAUAGACAUCUUUCUCAGGGUGCAAGGCCUUGCGUGCACUGCUUCCUUCUGCUUCGAACAUUCUCUUUCCCCACCUCCUGCACCUUGCCCGUUUAACUCAGACUCAAUUUUCAAAUCUCAGUACACAUGCCUUUUCUAGGGAGGCUUUCUAAUUCCCCAGACUAGCUUGGAUUCCUUUGUUGUAGUCUCAUAUACUUUGUACAAGAUCUUUAA
This is a long non-coding RNA of Manis pentadactyla (Chinese pangolin), 2891 nucleotides long. RefSeq lists it as uncharacterized. The record is from RefSeq and is a predicted model, not a curated record. Lineage: Eukaryota; Metazoa; Chordata; Mammalia; Pholidota; Manidae. The transcript is spliced from 3 exons.